This 502-nucleotide ribosomal RNA is filed under the name uncultured bacterium. RNAcentral's name for it is "partial 16S ribosomal RNA". It matches the Rfam family "Bacterial small subunit ribosomal RNA", at positions 30 to 523 of the family's 1533-position model. The record is from RNAcentral.
AUUGAACGCUGGCGGCAUGCCUUACACAUGCAAGUCGAACGGCAGCACGGGUGCUUGCACCUGGUGGCGAGUGGCGAACGGGUGAGUAAUACAUCGGAACGUACCUUAUCGUGGGGGAUAACAAAUUGAAAAAUUUGCUAAUACCGCAUACGAUCUAAGGAUGAAAGCGGGGGACCGUAAGGCCUCGCGCGAUUGGAGCGGCCGAUGUCAGAUUAGGUAGUUGGUGAGGUAAAGGCUCACCAAGCCGACGAUCUGUAGCUGGUCUGAGAGGACGACCAGCCACACUGGGACUGAGACACGGCCCAGACUCCUACGGGAGGCAGCAGUGGGGAAUUUUGGGCAAUGGACGCAAGUCUGAUCCAGCCAUUCCGCGUGCAGGACGAAGGCCUUCGGGUUGUAAACUGCUUUUGUACGGAACGAAAAAGCUCUUACUAAUACUAGGAGUCCAUGACGGUACCGUAAGAAUAAGCACCGGCUAACUACGUGCCAGCAGCCGCCGUAA